Raphanus sativus (radish) is the source of this 406-nucleotide long non-coding RNA. RefSeq lists it as uncharacterized. Lineage: Eukaryota; Viridiplantae; Streptophyta; Magnoliopsida; Brassicales; Brassicaceae. The transcript is spliced from 2 exons. The record is from RefSeq and is a predicted model, not a curated record.
UGCAUACUGUAUAAGGAGUCAAAUUCAAAUUAACAUAGCCCCAUAUAUAAAUUUACUCCGACGAAAGCUAGCGCCGUUACCAAAACAAGGAGGUACCCAUCAACGCUAAGUACCUCUUCACGGAAGAGUCAGCGUGGAUCUUGAGGAGAGAAUCUCACCUUCUACACAGGUACCAGUUACCUCGAUGGCUCUGUAGCCGGAGCUACAGCUCGAUUAUCUCCGGUGUAUGAAGACACGACUAAGCUGAAUCAGAUCAACAGGGUCCUGAACGGAUAGGGACAAUGAGUGGACUGGUUUGGGAACUGGAGCUGUGUUUAAGGUAGCGCGUGGGGUCUUGGGAUCUCUUUAUUGAACGUGUAUCAGACAUUACACAUUAUCCGAAUCCUAGAGGUACUCAUCUUUGUAA